This 253-nucleotide ribosomal RNA is filed under the name uncultured bacterium. RNAcentral's name for it is "partial 16S ribosomal RNA". It matches the Rfam family "Bacterial small subunit ribosomal RNA", at positions 524 to 776 of the family's 1533-position model. The record is from RNAcentral.
UACAGGGGGGGCGAGCGUUGUUCGGAAUUACUGGGCGUAAAGGGUUUGUAGGUGGCUUGCUCAGUCAGACGUGAAAUCCCUCAGCUUAACUGGGGAACUGCGUCUGAUACUAGCGAGCUUGAGUGCAGGAGAGGAACGCGGAAUUCCAGGUGUAGCGGUGAAAUGCGUAGAUAUCUGGAGGAACACCGGUGGCGAAGGCGGCUCACUGGCUCAUUUCUGACGCUCAGGCGCGACAGCGUGGGGAUCAAACAGG